RNAcentral lists this ribosomal RNA (253 nucleotides) under uncultured microorganism. Its description in RNAcentral is "partial 16S ribosomal RNA". It matches the Rfam family "Bacterial small subunit ribosomal RNA", at positions 524 to 776 of the family's 1533-position model. The record is from RNAcentral.
UACGAAAGGGGCAAGCGUUGUUCGGAUUUACUGGGCGUAAAGGGCACGCAGGCGGUCUUGCCAGUCAGGGGUGAAAGCCCGGGGCUCAACCCCGGAACUGCCUCUGAUACUGCAGGACUAGAGACUAGGAGAGGGUGGUGGAAUUCCCAGUGUAGAGGUGAAAUUCGUAGAUAUUGGGAGGAACACCAGAGGCGAAGGCGGCCACCUGGACUAGAUCUGACGCUCAUGCACGAAAGCGUGGGGAGCAAACAGG